UUGGUACUCCCUCCGUCCAACAAAGGAUGUCUCAACUUUGACUAAAUUUGAAUGCAUCUAUACACUAAGUCAUGUCUAGAUACAUCCAAAUUUUGACAAACUUGAGACAUCUUUUGUCGGAUGGAGGGAGUAUAUG
This is a non-coding RNA of Brachypodium distachyon (stiff brome), 136 nucleotides long. The record is from Rfam. NCBI's taxonomy places the organism in Eukaryota, Viridiplantae, Streptophyta, Magnoliopsida, Poales, Poaceae.